GACAGAGGUGCCAAGCGUUAGGCGGAAUCACUGGGCUUAAAGCGUGUGUAGGCGGACUUCUAAGUACCUUGUGAAAUCCCACGGCUCAACCGUGGAACUGCUUGGUAUACUGGUCGUCUUGAGCCAUCUAGGGGCUGUCGGAACAAAUGGUGGAGCGGUGAAAUGCGUAGAUAUCAUUUGGAACGCCAAAGGUGAAAACAGACAGCUGGGGAUGUGCUGACGCUGAGACACGAAAGCCAGGGGAGCGAACGGG
Molecule: ribosomal RNA, 253 nt
Filed under: uncultured bacterium
Lineage: Bacteria
Description: partial 16S ribosomal RNA
Rfam family: Bacterial small subunit ribosomal RNA
Source: RNAcentral